Carica papaya (papaya) is the source of this 1218-nucleotide non-coding RNA. The record is from RefSeq and is a predicted model, not a curated record. NCBI's taxonomy places the organism in Eukaryota, Viridiplantae, Streptophyta, Magnoliopsida, Brassicales, Caricaceae.
UGAGUGUAAUUCGACUGGUCUUUCCUUAAACUACUAUUGGGUAAUGCACCAUCUGAAUCAUGUAUAAGUUAAAGGAACGCAACUGGUUAAUCAUAAGUUUAAACAGUUACUAUGAUCCUCUUAGUGAUUCAGCCAUCAAUGAGUAAGUUGAGAUGUCUUGCUGUAUUGAUUUCUCUGUUUGCAGACUCUUAUAAAAGAUCGAAAAUGGAAAAUUUCCUGAUUUUGAAGAUUAAAUAAUUGCGGACUAUGUUAAAAUUAGUAGAUGUUUGUGCUCAACCAGAGUUCAAAAUUUAAGAUUUACUAGAUGUUUGGGUUCUUUUCUUUCUUUCUCUAAUUAGAUAUAGCAUUUAGCCCUGGGCUUCAAGUUUCACUAACUUCCAUUGGCUUGGAAGUUUCCUUCCAUAUUGUAAUCUGCAAAAAAAAAAAAAAAAGGAAAUGCCAACAGUAGAAUGUACACUUGUGGAGAUACACUUUUUUCUUUUCUUAAUGUCUCUGUUUUUGUGCUAUCGGGAGGAGUUAGUUAUAAAAGAGUGCUUUCCUGAUUUAUAUCUUAUAUAUUCUGUGCUUCCGUUUCUUAAGUUCAGUGCUUUUCACCACAUAAUAUGUUUGUUUAUGGUAAACUGUAAAAUUUCAGUUUACUCUCACCAGUCCAUGUGGAUUCUUUCAUAUGUUUUUUUUUGUAUACUUGCAGUAUUGAUGAUGGAUUCCCAAUUGUUACUCUUAAUUUUGAAGAUUCCAUCUUUUUGACAGUUUAUCCUCACGAUUAUAUCUUCCAAUUUCUUGAAGAAAUGUGGUGUUUUGGUUGGCAGAAUGGAGGGAUGCAAACUAAGGAUGGAAUGCAAUUGACUCUUUUGGGAGAUUUAGUUCUUUCAAAUAAAUUGGUUAUAUAUGAUAUUGAGAACCAAGUCAUUGGAUGGACUGAAUACAACUGCUCGUCAGGCAUCAAGGUGAGGGAUGAAGUGACUGGAGUUACUUACAGUGUUGAGACUCACAAUCUUUCAAGGUCAUCGUGUUUGAGCCUCGGAAGAAUUCUGACAUUGUUGUCAAUACUAAUUGUCAUACUGCACAAUUUUGUUCCAUAAAUUUUGGUAACGUUGGGUGGCUAUAGCAUUCAUCUAUUAUGUAGGACCCUAAUUUUUAUAUAUGAUGCGUGUCUUGUCUUCGAUUUAUGUAAUUACAAGUUUUAAACAUAAUUUCAUUCUGCAAGUAGUAUCUUCA